RNAcentral lists this ribosomal RNA (449 nucleotides) under uncultured bacterium. RNAcentral describes it as "bacterial SSU rRNA". It matches the Rfam family "Bacterial small subunit ribosomal RNA", at positions 354 to 796 of the family's 1533-position model. The record is from RNAcentral.
GUCGAGGAUUUUUCACAAUGGGCGAAAGCCUGAUGGAGCGACGCCGCGUGGGGGAUGAAUGGCUUCGGCCCGUAAACCCCUGUCAUUUGCGAGCAAAGCCGUCGGCCUAAUACGCUGACGGUUGAUAGUAGCGAAAGAGGAAGGGACGGCUAACUCUGUGCCAGCAGCCGCGGUAAUACAGAGGUCCCAAGCGUUGUUCGGAUUCACUGGGCAUAAAGGGUGCGUAGGUGGCAGGGUAAGUUCGGUGUGAAAUCCCCGAGCUCAACUCGGGAAUGGCAUUGAAUACUAUCCUGCUGGAGGAUCGGAGGGGAGACUGGAAUUCUCGGUGUAGCAGUGAAAUGCGUAGAUAUCGAGAGGAACACCAGUGGCGAAGGCGAGUCUCUGGACGAUUCCUGACACUGAGGCACGAAAGCUAGGGGAGCAAACAGGAUUAGAUACCCCUGUAGUCC